UUGUAAUUCACUUUUACUAGGAAUNAAUACCUACCGGCUAAUACCCGGUAGACUGACAUUACCUAUACAAGAAUUGCACCAGGCUAACUCCGUG
RNAcentral lists this ribosomal RNA (94 nucleotides) under uncultured Gammaproteobacteria bacterium. RNAcentral's name for it is "partial 16S ribosomal RNA". Lineage: Bacteria; Pseudomonadati; Pseudomonadota; Gammaproteobacteria. The record is from RNAcentral.